AGUUGCUUGGAGUCAUCCGAUCUUCACCAGAAGAGUGAGUGAUGGAGAGGAGUAUGCUGGUAAUAGAUUGAGUUUUGGCCAGCACUGUAGGCCAGUGAACCAUCGGAGAAAAGAUUGUUGACAUGGAAUUAAGUUAGAAGGUGAUGGAGAUGUGGGCAGCAGUAAGCAUCACACCCGUGAUUUUCAACAGUGGGUUGUUUCGUUCACAAGGAGCACUUUGAAUGAGGAUCCGAGUUGAAUGUGAUCUUCUGGAGUUGUUGAAGAC
Molecule: long non-coding RNA, 265 nt
Organism: Zingiber officinale
Lineage: Eukaryota; Viridiplantae; Streptophyta; Magnoliopsida; Zingiberales; Zingiberaceae
Exons: 4
Source: RefSeq, a predicted model, not a curated record